RNAcentral lists this ribosomal RNA (327 nucleotides) under uncultured eukaryote. RNAcentral's name for it is "partial 18S ribosomal RNA". It matches the Rfam family "Eukaryotic small subunit ribosomal RNA", at positions 1470 to 1796 of the family's 1831-position model. The record is from RNAcentral.
CCCUUAGAUGUUCUGGGCCGCACGCGCGCUACACUGAUUCAUGCAACAAGUCUUGUCCUUGGCUGAUAGGCCUGGGUAAUCUUUGAACGUGAAUCGUGAUGGGGAUAGAUGAUUGCAAUUAUUCAUCUUCAACGAGGAAUUCCUAGUAAACGCAAGUCAUCAGCUUGCAUUGAUUACGUCCCUGCCCUUUGUACACACCGCCCGUCGCACCUACCGAUUGAAUGGUCCGGUGAAAUCUUCGGAUCUGAGAGAUGUCUGAUUAAUUUCGGACGCCUUUUGGAAAAGUUGCUUAAACCUUACCAUUUAGAGGAAGGUGAAGUCGUANCA